CUAAGCCGAGGCCGAAAGGCGUAGGUGAUGGACAACAGGUUGAUAUUCCUGUACCGCCAAUAAGCGUUUGAGAGAUGGAGUGACACAGUAGGAUAAGCUAACCGUACUGUUGGUUAUGUACGGCUAAGCAUUGAGGCAGUCUAAAUAGGCAAAUCCGUUUAGACAAUGCUAGGAUGUGAUGGGGAAGCCCUUCGGGGCGAAGUAGCUGAUUUCACACUGUCAAGAAAAGCUUCUAUCGAGUUUAAAGGCGCCCGUACCGUAAACCGACACAGGUGGGUGAGGAGAGUAUCCUAAGGCCAGCGAGAGAACUAUUGUUAAGGAACUCGGCAAAAUGACCCCGUAACUUAGGGAGAAGGGGUGCCUGUCUAUGACAGGCCGCAGAGAAUAGGCCCAAGCGACUGUUUACCAAAAACACAGGUUUCUGCUAAGUCGCAAGACGAUGUAUAGGAGCUGACGCCUGCCCGGUGCUGGAAGGUUAAGGGGAUCUGUUAGAGCAAUCGAAGCAGUGAACUUAAGCCCCAGUAAACGGCGGCCGUAACUAUAACGGUCCUAAGGUAGCGAAAUUCCUUGUCGGGUAAGUUCCGACCCGCACGAAAGGCGUAACGAUUUGGGCACUGUCUCAACAAUAGACUCGGUGAAAUUGUAAUCCCGGUGAAGAUGCCGGGUACCUGCGACAGGACGGAAAGACCCCAUGGAGCUUUACUGUAGCUUGACGUUGGGUCUUGGUACUACAUGUACAGGAUAGGUGGGAGACUAUGAAGCAUGGACGCCAGUCUGUGUGGAGUCAUCCUUGGGAUACCACCCUUGUAGUACUGGGAUCCUAACCAUAGGCCUUGAAUCAGGUCUUGGAACACCGUCAGGUGGGCAGUUUGACUGGGGCGGUCGCCUCCUAAAAAGUAACGGAGGCGCUCAAAGGUUUCCUCAGCACGGUCGGAAAUCGUGCGAAGAGUGUAAAGGCAAAAGGAAGCUUGAUUGCAAGACAUACAGGUCGAGCAAGGACGAAAGUCGGACUUAGUGAUC
RNAcentral lists this ribosomal RNA (1020 nucleotides) under human gut metagenome. RNAcentral describes it as "bacterial LSU rRNA". It matches the Rfam family "Bacterial large subunit ribosomal RNA", at positions 1391 to 2420 of the family's 2925-position model. The record is from RNAcentral.